Molecule: ribosomal RNA, 426 nt
Filed under: uncultured bacterium
Lineage: Bacteria
Description: bacterial SSU rRNA
Rfam family: Bacterial small subunit ribosomal RNA
Source: RNAcentral
AGGGAAUCUUCGGCAAUGGACGAAAGUCUGACCGAGCAACGCCGCGUGAGUGAAGAAGGUUUUCGGAUCGUAAAACUCUGUUGUUAGAGAAGAACAAGGAUGAGAAGAGAAUGUUCAUCCCUUGACGGUAUCUAACCAGAAAGCCACGGCUAACUACGUGCCAGCAGCCGCGGUAAUACGUAGGUGGCAAGCGUUGUCCAGAUUUAUUGGGCGUAAAGCGAGCGCAGGCGGUUCUUUAAGUCUGAUGUGAAAGCCCCCGGCUUAACCGGGGAGGGUCAUUGGAAACUGGGGAACUUGAGUGCAGAAGAGGAGAGUGGAAUUCCAUGUGUAGCGGUGAAAUGCGUAGAUAUAUGGAGGAACACCAGUGGCGAAGGCGGCUCUCUGGUCUGUAACUGACGCUGAGGCUCGAAAGCGUGGGGAGCAAAC